Molecule: long non-coding RNA, 1009 nt
Organism: Equus caballus (horse)
Lineage: Eukaryota; Metazoa; Chordata; Mammalia; Perissodactyla; Equidae
Source: Ensembl
AUUCCUGUUUCUGGUAACCUCCUGUAACUGUUUGCCCCCACCCCCAACAUCCUCCUUUGUCAUUAGCUGAGACGAUACUUAAGGUGGGGGCUUCAGCCAUUUUGAUGAGUCACUCAGCUUGCCUGACCUCUCCCAUGUAUACAUGUUAUAAAGUUUUGUUUAAUUUUCUUCUGCUAUUCUGUCUCAUGUGAAUUUAAUUCGUUCUCCGGCCAGACAAACCCAGAGAAGGUAGAGCUAAUGUCUCCAUCCCCUACAGUUUGGCAACUUGGACGGGAUAAAAUUUCACUGGCUGGACACUGCUUGCUCCUGGACUGCUGCAGCUGAGAGAUCCUGGACCCCUGACAAGAGCCGGCAAGAGGCUGGAUUGGUAUCCCUCCCUAUGGAUCCUGACCACUCUGAAUUGUGGGAAAGUCCCAAUUAGGACUCCGGUUCAAGAGAUAUUCAUGGAAAGGACUCUGACACUGACUCUGGAAUACAGGUUUCUGAUAAACUUUCAGAUCAUAGAACUGAACUGAGUAAGAAAUUACAUAAAUCUAAUGGAGAAACCUAUGACCUCAUAAAACUCCUAACAGAAGAUUAAGAUCAAGAACUGAUUAUACAGAACUGAAUGAACUGAGGAUGAUAAUUUUCAUGACUUUUAUUUGAAGUAUUGCUGAUUUUUUUUGAAGUUUUGUUUUGUUUUCUCAGAUUUAAGGAACUCUUUUUCUCUUUUCUCUCAUGCUAACUAUGACUUUUGCCAAUUUGGUGAAAUUAUGCCUUUGCAAACAAGACUGAAACAUUUACCUUUUUCUCCCUAGCUGAUCCCUCCAGAGUUUGGAAACUUAGUGAGUGAGUAUGGCUAUUUCAUGGCAAUAUAGUUAUUUGCAUAAGUUCAAAAAGAAUCCAUUCUCCUUACAACAGGAAGCAUUUGUUAUCUUACCAAAGCUUUGACUGGAAUGUCAUAUUUGAGAGAAACAUACAGACUCAGAUAUGACAAUACUGUCUUUGAGGAAUAAGGUUGACUUUCUGG